RNAcentral lists this ribosomal RNA (597 nucleotides) under Triticum aestivum (bread wheat). RNAcentral's name for it is "partial small subunit ribosomal RNA". The record is from RNAcentral. Lineage: Eukaryota; Viridiplantae; Streptophyta; Magnoliopsida; Poales; Poaceae.
AUGCAGUGUAAAGAUGCUUGUACUCAUAUUAAGUACCUUGCGGAUUGUGGUGAUGAGUCAUGUCAAGGAUGCUAUGGUGAAGAGGAUCAUUGUCUACUUCUUGAAGGUUUGGCGGGCGCUACAAAUUUAGAGCUGAUAAGUCAAUAUUCUGUGAUUUUCAGAAAAGACUUGAAAUGGUGCCCUAUGUUUAGCAAGCUAAAAACAGUGUUGCUCAAUGAAUGGUGUUUGACUGCAAACUUCACUGGACUACUUUACUUUCUUCAGCACGCACCAAUUCUAGAAAAGCUUACCCUUCAACUUCCAUCUUGCAAGGAUUUUGACAUUGGAUCAAAUGGAAGCUACAGCCCAGCGGAAUAUUUCUUGGUGUCAAAGCAUCUCAAGGUAGUUGAAAUCCAUUGUAGCAAGGAGGAUGAAUGGACUUGUCAAAUUGUGAACAUCCUUGGCACUCAUGGAGUAACUUCUGUACGGAACAGGGAGGAUGAAUGGAUUUGUCAAAUUGUGAACAUCCUUGGUAUUCAUGGAGUAACUUCUGCGCAAAUUAGCAUCAAACAUGAUUCUCGGAAUUCUUUCAGGUUCAGUUUCCAGCAGACGAAGUAG